AACGAACGCUGGCGGCAUGCCUAACACAUGCAAGUCGAACGAGACCUUCGGGUCUAGUGGCGCCCGGGUGCGUAACGCGUGGGAACCUGCCCUUAGGUUCGGAAUAACUCCCCGAAAGGGGUGCUAAUACCGGAUAAUGUCUUCGGACCAAAGAUUUAUCGCCUUUGGAUGGGCCCGCGUUGGAUUAGCUAGUUGGUAGGGUAAAAGCCUACCAAGGCGACGAUCCCUAGCUGGUCUGUGAGGAUGAUCAGCCCCACUGGGACUGAGACGCGGCCCAGACUCCGACGGGAGGAAGCAGUGGGGAAUAUUGGACAAGGGGCGAAAGCCUGAUUCAGCAAUGCCGCGUGAGUGAUGAAGGCCUUAGGGUUGGAAAGCUCUUUUACCCGGGAUGAUAAUGACAGUACCGGGAGAAUAAGCUCCGGCUAACUCCGUG
Molecule: ribosomal RNA, 433 nt
Filed under: uncultured bacterium
Lineage: Bacteria
Description: partial 16S ribosomal RNA
Rfam family: Bacterial small subunit ribosomal RNA
Source: RNAcentral